RNAcentral lists this ribosomal RNA (429 nucleotides) under Acidobacteriota bacterium. Its description in RNAcentral is "Acidobacteria bacterium partial 16S ribosomal RNA". It matches the Rfam family "Bacterial small subunit ribosomal RNA", at positions 355 to 776 of the family's 1533-position model. The record is from RNAcentral. Lineage: Bacteria; Pseudomonadati; Acidobacteriota.
UGGGGAAUUUUGGACAAUGGGGGAAACCCUGAUCCAGCCAUCCCGCAUGUGCGAUGAAGGCCUUCGGGUUGUAAAGCACUUUUGGCAGGAAAGAAACGUCAUGGGUUAAUACCCCGUGAAACUGACGGUACCUGCAGAAUAAGCACCGGCUAACUACGUGCCAGCAGCCGCGGUAAUACGUAGGGUGCAAGCGUUAAUCGGAAUUACUGGGCGUAAAGCGUGCGCAGGCGGUUCGGAAAGAAAGAUGUGAAAUCCCAGAGCUCAACUUUGGAACUGCAUUUUUAACUACCGGGCUAGAGUGUGUCAGAGGGAGGCGGAAUUCCGCGUGUAGCAGUGAAAUGCGUAGAUAUGCGGAGGAACACCGAUGGCGAAGGCAGCCUCCUGGGAUAACACUGACGCUCAUGCACGAAAGCGUGGGGAGCAAACAGG